AGUGAACGCUGGCGGUAGGCCUAACACAUGCAAGUCGAACGGCAGCACAGUAAGAGCUUGCUCUUACGGGUGGCGAGUGGCGGACGGGUGAGGAAUACAUCGGAAUCUACUUUUUCGUGGGGGAUAACGUAGGGAAACUUACGCUAAUACCGCAUACGACCUACGGGUGAAAGCAGGGGAUCUUCGGACCUUGCGCGAUUGAAUGAGCCGAUGUCGGAUUAGCUAGUUGGCGGGGUAAAGGCCCACCAAGGCGACGAUACGUAGCUGGUCUGAGAGGAUGAUCAGCCACACUGGAACUGAGACACGGUCCAGACGCCUACGAGAGGCAGCAGUGGGGAAUAUGGGACAAAGGGCGCAAGCCUGGUCCAGCCAUACCGCGUGGGUGAAGAAGGCCUUCGGGUUGUAAAGCCCUUUUGUUGGGAAAGAAAAGCAGCAGGUUAAUACCCCGCUGUUCUGACGGUACCCAAAGAAUAAGCACCGGCUAACUUCGUG
Molecule: ribosomal RNA, 492 nt
Filed under: uncultured bacterium
Lineage: Bacteria
Description: partial 16S ribosomal RNA
Rfam family: Bacterial small subunit ribosomal RNA
Source: RNAcentral